This is an RNA transcript of Betta splendens (Siamese fighting fish), 2649 nucleotides long. It is a transcript of the gene named septin 6, with no coding region annotated. NCBI's taxonomy places the organism in Eukaryota, Metazoa, Chordata, Actinopteri, Anabantiformes, Osphronemidae. The record is from RefSeq and is a predicted model, not a curated record. The transcript has 11 exons.
ACCAAACGCCCUGUUGUGACGUGGUACAGUCCAGUAGGCCACCGUUCGGCGUAACCUCAACGGCCGCUUUGGAGUCGUUUGCUAAGCUCAAGCAGGAGCAGCGCGUUCAUCUGGCUAGCAGCUACCGCCAUGGCGUCAACCGAGAUAGCGAGGCAAGCGGGUGAAGGUGCCCGUGCUGUUCCUCUGUCAGGCCAUGUUGGCUUUGACAGUAUGCCUGACCAGCUGGUCAACAAGUCUGUAAACCACGGCUUCUGCUUCAACAUUCUCUGUGUUGGGGAAACUGGUCUGGGGAAGUCCACUCUAAUGGACACGUUGUUCAACACCAAGUUUGAAGGUGAACCUACCCAGCACAACCAGCCAGGAGUCACGCUGAAGUCGAACACCUACGAACUCCAGGAGAGCAACGUACGCCUUAAACUCACAGUUGUCAACACAGUGGGCUUUGGGGAUCAGAUCAACAAAGAGGACAGCUACAAGUCCAUUGUGGAGUUCAUUGAUGCCCAGUUUGAAGCAUAUCUUCAGGAGGAACUGAAAAUCAAGCGCACAUUGCACAGCUACCAUGACACCCGCAUACAUGCGUGCCUGUAUUUCAUCGCUCCCACAGGACACUCGCUCAAAUCCUUGGACUUGGUGACCAUGAAGAAACUUGAUAGCAAGGUCAACAUUAUCCCAAUCAUUGCAAAGUCAGAUGCCAUCUCCAAGAGCGAACUGGCCAAGUUCAAAAUCAAAAUCACCAGUGAGUUGGUCAGCAAUGGAGUGCAGAUCUACCAGUUCCCCACUGAUGAUGAGUCUGUGGCAGAGAUCAACUCCACCAUGAAUAGCCACUUGCCGUUUGCUGUGGUGGGGAGCACGGAGGAAGUUAAGAUUGGGAACAAGAUGGUGAAGGCCCGGCAGUACCCCUGGGGGACCGUGCAGGUGGAGAAUGAGAACCACUGUGACUUCGUCAAGUUGAGAGAAAUGCUGAUCAGAGUGAACAUGGAAGAUCUGCGAGAACAGACUCACACGCGUCAUUAUGAGCUUUAUCGCCGCUGCAAACUGGAGGAGAUGGGCUUCAAGGACACAGACCCUGACAGCAAGCCCUUCAGUCUGCAGGAGACGUAUGAAGCUAAGAGAAAUGAGUUCAUGGGCGAGCUGCAGAAGAAGGAAGAAGAAAUGAGGCAAAUGUUUGUCCAACGAGUGAAAGAGAAGGAAGCUGAGCUUAAAGAAGCAGAGAAAGAGCUGCAUGAGAAGUUUGACCGUUUGAAGAAGCUUCACCAGGACGAAAAAAAGAAACUGGAAGAAAAGAAGAAGUCUCUUGACGAUGAGCUCAACACGUUCAAACAGAAAAAGACUGCUGCAGAGCUCUUGCAGAACCAAGCUCAGCAGGCAGGAGGUUCUACCACACUCAAGAGGGACAAAGAGAGAAAAAACUGAUGUGACUCCGUGCCUGUUAAAAAAAGGAAGGCCACACUUGCACUGAGAAGCUUAGGAUCGCUGUAGAAAAUGUGCUCCCUUGUGGCCGUCCUGCUGUGAAUGAGUUCCCACCCCAUCAUCCUUUACAGUAUCCCUUCCCCAUCCUCACCUAACCCCCGUAAUACCCACCCCUCCACAUGCUCACCCCUGCUCGGUGGAAGACGCUGGGCGUUGCUGUCAGUUUGACAUCACCUUUUUGUAUUUGCUGAAUGUUGCUUGUGUGUCACACGGCUUUUACAAGCACUUAUUCAGCUUUUGUUUUUUAAAAUGAAGUUUUACAAUUAAUGCAUUCCAUAUUUGUUUUUUUAAAGAUUCUUUGCAUGAUGAAGCCAGCUUUUUAUAUCAACGUACAUGGCUACGGUUGUGAUGGGCUGAAAUGUAUCAAGGCUAAAGAGAAAUAUGCAUCAAACAUUGAGAUCUGAGUUUAGUUAUUACAAUAUAUGCAACAUCAGUAGGUUGCAGUGAAAAACAUGUUAGUAAAUUAAAUGAUUUAUUUAAUUUACUUUGUAUACAGUACUGAUGGCUUUUAAAAAUGUCUUCUGGAGACUUUUAACUUAAACCACAGUUAUUGCUGCUAAUGGAAAAUACAUUGUUUACUGUAAUUCUAUACUGUAGUCAAGCAGUGAAACAAUAGAUGUAUCUUAAACAAUGAGGCUGAUGUCAUUUAGGUGACAUUGUACUGAUGCUGGAUUAUUUGUUUGUUUCCUGUAUAUUUGGCUCCAUGCAGGACUGGUGGCGCCUGCUUCGAACUAUGAUUUCCAUGAUUUGAAUUCAUAAACAACUUAAAGCUUGCCACUCCACUAGACGGAGUUAAUUGACAGGUUUACUAAAUGAACAAUAUUUUCCAGUGCUGAUGCUGUUUCACUUUGGCCUGAUGCAUGAGCAGAUGAGCCUAAUCUCUUUGCCACUUCUCUCAUACCUCAUUCGUUGUCAUUUGUUAUGUGCUUACUUGUAUUAGCUUUCACAUUUGCACUUUUCUCCCUAUUACACACAAAUGUGAUGUUUUUUAAGUAUGUUUUAAUGUUAUCAGUGCAAUUGUAACUUUCUUUUUUAUUUUACCCAUUAUGAAGGCACAUUUACGUCGUUUAUCAUGAUAUCCAUUGUCCUGCGGGGACCAAUCUUGUUUGUAUUAAGUAUUAUGCGUUAAAGAAUUAUCUCAAAAAUAAAUAAAGGCCAUUUUUCCACCAAAUAUUACAA